AACGAACGCUGGCGGCAUGCCUAACACAUGCAAGUCGAACGAGACCUUCGGGUUUCGUGGCGCAAGGGUUCGUAACGCGUUGGAACAUGCCCAUAGGACCGGCCUAAAUCCCUGAAAGGGGUGCUAAAACCGGCUAACAACUCCGGACCAAGGCUUUAUCCUCCUUGGCUGUGCCAGCGUUGGAUUAGCUAGGUGGUAGGGUAAAAGCCUACCAAGACGACGAUCAGUAGCUGGUCUGGGAGGAUGAGCAGCCACACGAGGACUGAGACACGGCCCAGACUCCUACAGGAGGCAGCAGUGGGUAAUAGUGGACAAUGGGCGAAAGGCUGAUGUAGCUAUGUCGCGUGAGUGAAGGAUGCCUUAGGGUAAUAAAGCUCUUUUAGCCGGGAUGAAAAUGACAGUACCGGGAGAAGAAGCGCCGGCUAACUCCGUG
RNAcentral lists this ribosomal RNA (433 nucleotides) under uncultured bacterium. RNAcentral's name for it is "partial 16S ribosomal RNA". It matches the Rfam family "Bacterial small subunit ribosomal RNA", at positions 29 to 507 of the family's 1533-position model. The record is from RNAcentral.